UGGGGAAUAUUGCACAAUGGGCGCAAGCCUGAUGCAGCCAUGCCGCGUGUGUGAAGAAGGCCUUCGGGUUGUAAAGCACUUUCAGUUGUGAGGAAAGGUGUGUAGUUAAUAACUGCAUACUGUGACGUUAGCAACAGAAGAAGCACCGGCUAACUUCGUGCCAGCAGCCGCGGUAAUACGAGGGGUGCAAGCGUUAAUCGGAAUUACUGGGCGUAAAGCGUACGUAGGCGGUUUGUUAAGCAAGAUGUGAAAGCCCAGGGCUUAACCUUGGAACUGCAUUUUGAACUGGCAAACUAGAGUACUGUAGAGGGUGGUGGAAUUUCCAGUGUAGCGGUGAAAUGCGUAGAGAUUGGAAGGAACAUCAGUGGCGAAGGCGGCCACCUGGACAGAUACUGACGCUGAGGUACGAAAGCGUGGGGAGCGAACAGG
This 429-nucleotide ribosomal RNA is filed under the name uncultured bacterium. RNAcentral describes it as "bacterial SSU rRNA". It matches the Rfam family "Bacterial small subunit ribosomal RNA", at positions 355 to 776 of the family's 1533-position model. The record is from RNAcentral.